RNAcentral lists this long non-coding RNA (539 nucleotides) under Marmota monax (woodchuck). Lineage: Eukaryota; Metazoa; Chordata; Mammalia; Rodentia; Sciuridae. The record is from RNAcentral.
CGCGACCAAAGCGGGGUUAGUCCCAGGUAAGUGGGAUCCACGACCAAAGCGGGGCAGCUCCUCUGUAAAGAAAGACAGAGCAUUACAUUUUAUUGCAGCUGCACUGUGUACUUUCGCUUUUGUUUUCUGUGUUUCUUUUGUUGUGUCAUUUCGCUUUUGUUUUUUGUGCUUCUUUUGUUGCUGUGUCAUGGGUGCUGCAUCUUCAAGUCCGCUUCUCCUGGCCCUAGAUGGCCUGUUACGUUCCAAGGGCCUGGAAGUGAAACAUAGUACUUUACAGAGAUUUUUACAGAAGAUAGAUAUCGCUGCACCGUGGUUUGCAUUUUCGGGCAGCCUUACUGUACCUAGUUGGGAUAAAUUAGGCAAAGAUCUAGAUUUCGCUCGUGAGCAAGGCACCUUAGAGGGUGGUGUUAUUCCACUUUGGAAGUUAGUUAGAGGAUGUAUAACAGAUGGUAAAUGCCAGGAAGCUGUGAGUGAGGGUCAAGCUAUUCUUGAGCAACUGCAUGAGGAAAAAUCUGAAGGAUCAUGUAGUGAAGUGGCAG